CAGUAGCCGCGGUAAUACGUAGGGUGCGAGCGUUAAUCGGAAUUACUGGGCGUAAAGCGUGCGCAGGCGGUUAUAUAAGACAGAUAUGAAAUCCCCGGGCUCAACCUGGGACCUGCAUUUGUGACUGUAUAGCUAGAGUACGGUAGAGGGGGAUGGAAUUCCGCGUGUAGCAGUGAAAUGCGUAGAUAUGCGGAGGAACACCGAUGGCGAAGGCAAUCCCCUGGACCUGUACUGACGCUCAUGCACGAAAGCGUGGGGAGCAAACAGGAUUAGAUACCCGAGUAGUCCCUGUCUCUUAUAC
Molecule: ribosomal RNA, 301 nt
Filed under: uncultured bacterium
Lineage: Bacteria
Description: partial 16S ribosomal RNA
Rfam family: Bacterial small subunit ribosomal RNA
Source: RNAcentral